UCUUUUGGUUGUAUCAUCAUCAACUAAUCACUGUCGUAUUUUCUGCCUAAUGAUGCACCAUGCUCCUUGAUAAUCCAGACUGAUUGUAGAAGAAUGUCUUGUUGUGUAGAGUAUAGCUCAUCCUUGCUCUGAAGUCACAUGUACAAAGUGAAAGACUUUAGAAAAUGGAAAACAAAUAUGAGAAGUACAUAUCAAAGCACACCAGACUUGAAAUAAGAAAUGUCAAGUAUUAAGCAUAUAAAACAUUAGUCAGAAGGAAGAAGAAAUAAUUAAAUAUGUAAUUCAAUCGGUCGACUACCAUAGAGAUCAGUGACUCAUUAAAGUUAUAAAACCACACAGAAAGCCAUUGACACUUAUGUUCAGCAAUAAAUGAAUCACAGUGUCUGCAAAUUCUUGCUAUUUAAGAUGGCAAGGUCUCUCAUUACCGCACAAAGAAAUCUUCCAAUCAAAUCAUACUCACUCAGGGGAUCGGACUUUGCGGGUAGGUAUAAGGCGUGAGUGGGCCAGGGGACACAAAAUAAAGCGGGGGUAGAAAAGCCAAUAAUACUGACCAGAUGAUAUUUGCAAUGUACAGUUUUUAAACUUAAGCCGAAUAACAUAACCACCAGGUUCUAGUUCUGUACUUAAUUUAGAAUGAUAAAAUUAAUGCAGUUGAAGCAGGAAAAAAGGAACUUAACCAU
RNAcentral lists this long non-coding RNA (680 nucleotides) under Citrus sinensis (sweet orange). Its description in RNAcentral is "long non-coding RNA (CSIN_LNC003610)". Lineage: Eukaryota; Viridiplantae; Streptophyta; Magnoliopsida; Sapindales; Rutaceae. The record is from RNAcentral.